Molecule: long non-coding RNA, 444 nt
Filed under: Fragaria vesca (wild strawberry)
Lineage: Eukaryota; Viridiplantae; Streptophyta; Magnoliopsida; Rosales; Rosaceae
Description: long non-coding RNA (FVES_LNC000703)
Source: RNAcentral
GUGUAUGGUGUGGUUUAAGUGUGAUAGACUGCAGGGAUUGCAGAGAUUGAAUUUAGAAUUAAAUUCAGUUUACCCCCAUGAAGUUUGGGAGUAACUUCAUGUUAAUCCCUAUACUUUCAAUUUCAUCAGUUUACCCCUCAAACUUUUGAAUUUUCCUCAAGCGUGACCAAAUGUUCUAUAUUCUAUCCAAAUCGGACGUUAACUGCUGAUAAUUUUAACCUUAACUGUGAGGCCAGUAUCUAGAAUUUGGGCAAAUCGGACCUUAUAUGUCCAAAUCGUACCUUAACUGCUGAUAAUUAAAGGUCAAUUCAAACGGAAUAUGAGAAUUUGGGCACGGUAGACAGAAAUUGAAGAGUUCAAGGGGUAAACUGAUGAAAAUAAAAGUGUAGGGACUAACAUGAAGUCACCCCCAAACCACAAGGGGGUAAACUGAAUUUAAUUCUU